RNAcentral lists this ribosomal RNA (585 nucleotides) under uncultured bacterium. Its description in RNAcentral is "bacterial SSU rRNA". It matches the Rfam family "Bacterial small subunit ribosomal RNA", at positions 338 to 916 of the family's 1533-position model. The record is from RNAcentral.
CCUACGGGAGGCAGCAGUGGGGAAUUUUGGACAAUGGGCGCAAGCCUGAUCCAGCCAUGCCGCGUGCGGGAAGAAGGCCUUCGGGUUGUAAACCGCUUUUGUCAGGGAAGAAAAUGUUCUGGAUAAUACCUGGGACUCAUGACGGUACCUGAAGAAUAAGCACCGGCUAACUACGUGCCAGCAGCCGCGGUAAUACGUAGGGUGCAAGCGUUAAUCGGAAUUACUGGGCGUAAAGCGUGCGCAGGCGGUUAUGCAAGACAGAGGUGAAAUCCCCGGGCUCAACCUGGGAACUGCCUUUGUGACUGCAUAGCUAGAGUACGGUAGAGGGGGAUGGAAUUCCGCGUGUAGCAGUGAAAUGCGUAGAUAUGCGGAGGAACACCGAUGGCGAAGGCAAUCCCCUGGACCUGUACUGACGCUCAUGCACGAAAGCGUGGGGAGCAAACAGGAUUAGAUACCCUGGUAGUCCACGCCCUAAACGAUGUCAACUGGUUGUUGGGAGGGUUUCUUCUCAGUAACGUAGCUAACGCGUGAAGUUGACCGCCUGGGGAGUACGGCCGCAAGGUUGAAACUUAAAUGAAUUGACGG